CACGUAGGGGGCAAGCGUUGUCCGGAUUUAUUGGGCGUAAAGAGCUCGUAGGCGGUUCGGUAAGUCGGGUGUGAAAACUCUGGGCUCAACUCAGAGACGCCACCUGAUACUGCCGUGACUUGAGUCUGGUAGGGGAGUGUGGAAUUCCCGGUGUAGCGGUGAAAUGCGCAGAUAUCGGGAGGAACACCGGUGGCGAAGGCGGCAUCCUGGACCGGCAUUGACGCUGAGGGGCGAAAGCCAGGGGAGCAAACGGG
RNAcentral lists this ribosomal RNA (254 nucleotides) under uncultured bacterium. RNAcentral's name for it is "partial 16S ribosomal RNA". It matches the Rfam family "Bacterial small subunit ribosomal RNA", at positions 524 to 776 of the family's 1533-position model. The record is from RNAcentral.